This is a non-coding RNA of Canis lupus familiaris (dog), 508 nucleotides long. Lineage: Eukaryota; Metazoa; Chordata; Mammalia; Carnivora; Canidae. The record is from the annotation of a RefSeq genome assembly.
CAGGGGAUUUGCAUAUUGUCCCCUGGGGAGGACCUUCCCUUGAAAGUCUGAGAUAAAGGUCAGCUCUAGGCUUGUCUUUACUUACUAGGGCUCCUCAGCUCAGCUUCUCAAGAUGAGGUUCCCUUCUCAGCUCCUGGGGCUGCUGAUGCUCUGGAUCCCAGGAUCCAGUGGGGAUAUUGUCAUGACACAGACCCCACUGUCCCUGUCUGUCAGCCCUGGAGAGACUGCCUCCAUCUCCUGUAAGGCCAGUCAGAGCCUCCUGCACAGUGAUGGAAACACGUAUUUGAAUUGGUUCCGACAGAAGCCAGGCCAGUCUCCACAGCGUUUGAUCUAUAAGGUCUCCAACAGAGACCCUGGGGUCCCAGACAGGUUCAGUGGCAGCGGGUCAGGGACAGAUUUCACCCUGAGAAUCAGCAGAGUGGAGGCUGAUGAUGCUGGAGUUUAUUACUGCGGGCAAGGUAUACAAGAUCCUCCCACAGUGGUUCAGCCCUGAACACAAACCUCUCUG